GGUUUUGUAGUGUAGUGGUGAACACGUCUGCUUCACAUGCAGAAGGUCCUGGGUUUGAUCCCCAAUGGAGCCA
Non-coding RNA from Protopterus annectens (West African lungfish), 73 nucleotides. The record is from the annotation of a RefSeq genome assembly. Lineage: Eukaryota; Metazoa; Chordata; Ceratodontiformes; Protopteridae.